This is a small nuclear RNA of Suncus etruscus (white-toothed pygmy shrew), 107 nucleotides long. The record is from RefSeq and is a predicted model, not a curated record. NCBI's taxonomy places the organism in Eukaryota, Metazoa, Chordata, Mammalia, Eulipotyphla, Soricidae.
GUGCUCACUUCGGCAACACAUAUACUAAAAUUGGAAUGAUGCAGAGUAGAUUAGUGUGGCCCCUGUGUAAGGAUGCCAUGCAAAUUCGUGAAGCAUUCCAUAUUUUA